UUGUAAUGGGUUUUAUAAUUCAUUAAAUUAAAUAAAUAUUUAAAAAAAACUACAUUCUACAUGCCCGGGUAACACUGUCGCUUACCUUUGACAUGGCGUCAACCUUUUCAAGAUGAAAUUCUUUUCGCUGACCAUGUACAAGCGACUCGUUUAUCGCUCCUCUCUAUGGUGCGCGGUCACACUCCUUCAUUGCCAAAAAGAGAAGCGCGUGGUUUAGCCGCAUAGAAUUUGCAUAUUAAUAACGCAAUUGAAUCAAUUAUAAAUAUAUACAAAAUUAAAUAUUUGGUUUAUAGUUGAAAGUGCGUAAUCAAAUCCAAUCAGUAAAUUGGCAAGUGCAGCAGAACGAGCUAGUGUCCAACGCUUGCCGCGUGGAGCUCUCGAAACAUGUCGAAUGCGAAUGAGAAUGGAAGUGCCGGAGUGCAGGAGGAAGACGAUGCUGAAAUGCCCAAUGCACCAAUUCGAAAUGAUGCAUCACUCGACAAUAUUGUGUUUGCAGCUGCUUAUCAAAGCGACGACAGCUUGAAUGAUACAUUAGACCAAGCUGGCCAAGAGGAAGCCGAGGCUGAUGCAAACAGCAUGGAAAAUUCACCUGAAGAGGCCGCAGAGGUUGAUGCUGAAACGGAUGCUGAAGGUGAUGUUGAGGGUGAUGGUGAUGGUGAUGGUGAUGGUGAUGGUGAUGGAGAUGGCGAGGGGGACGGCGACGGAGAAGAAGAAGCUUCCGAAGAUGGCCAAGAAGCGGACAACGGCAAUGCUGGGGAUGAUCCAGCAGCGGACAGGCGCUCGGCCACGAAAAAGGAGCUCACACAAAUCAUUGACAAAUGGGAGCAAGAACAAACACAAGCCGGCUACGAUCCCGUGCCGACGCUAAGAAGUCUGGCCGAGAUAUUUGAGCGUGAAAAGGACUCAUACAUGCGUAAGGAUCCGGAUCCACUGGACUUAAGGCACCCCUAUCGCACCGAUCCCAGCUGCCAAUAUGGACUGUUGCUGAAGCUGCUCUUUCGUAAAGAUCUGUUUAUGGGCAAACUUCUCAACGAUUAUCUGCGAGACAACUAUUUCAGUCGCCAGAGCAUAAGUCGCAGCUCCCUGGAGCUGAAUAUUAUUGCCUGUCGGCUCAUAUUGGUCGUGAUGCCGGGUCUUGAGACGACGGCUGUAUUCCAGACGGCCGAGGAAGAUGGCAUAAUUAAUCGGCUCUACAAUUGGGCAGAGGACAGCAUUGAGCCGCUGCAGAGCUAUGCCACAGGCCUGCUGGCCGCUGCCAUGGAAGUAAGCGAUAUAGCGAUUACCUGUCGGGAGCAGAACAUGCGUCUGGUGCCCAAAAUGAUAAACCGGCUGCAUUUGUUACUGGCAUGCAGUCGAAUGAGCAAGAACACCACAACAGAGCCGAGCUCCUCGCUCAACAACUCCACGGACAGCAAUAUUUCGCCGGGCAUGCUCAGCUGGAUGGCGUGCGGUGGCGCUGCGUCCGCCCCUCAGUCGCCGCAGCAUAACGGCACCAGCGGCAGUGCUUCCAACAUGUCCAUUUUGUUUGAGAAUAGUCGCGAUGCGUUCUCCAUGUCGCGCUAUUACAAGCGCAUGUAUAUACCACUGCAUCCGCCCACAGCGGACACCAGCCAAAUGCUCAUCAUGCGCUUCCUGACCAGCCUGGGCGAAUACCAAGAGUUCUUGGCUAUGGCCUUCGGCAACAAUGUAAUGUCGCUGAUCUUUGGACAUCUAGAGGAGCUCGAUAGACGCGACACUUGCCUCGCCUACGAAGUGCUCAAAUAUCUAGCCUCGUUGCUCUGCCACAAAAAGUUUGCACUGGAGUUCAUAUCGCGUGGCGGCCUAGAGCUGCUAUUGAAUGUGCCACGACCCAGUUUGGCCACCACGGGCGUCUCCAUUGCCAUUUACUAUUUGGCAUACUGUGAGGAUGCUAUGGAACGGAUUUGCAGCAUGCCGCGUCCAUUGAUAUCGAAUCUAGUACGGUACGCGCUAUGGAUACUGGGCCGCUGUCAUGACUCCUCCAAGUGUCAUGCCACCAUGUUCUUCAGCUUGAGUUUCCAAUUUAAGGCAAUACUCGAUGAGUUCGACGCACAAGAUGGCCUUCGCAAGCUCUAUAAUGUUAUAUCGGUACUUAAAAUUCUCGAUCCCAGUCAUAACGACAACGACAAUGGCUCGGAAAUCAAUGAGGAUGUCGAGUGCGCGUCGCGUCAGAUGGUGCGACACGUGUGCAUCGCAUUGAAGCGCUACAUGGAAGCGCAUUUCUUCUACAAGUACAACAACUUUCUGUGUCAGCACUAUGCGAGCUCAUCGGCCUCAUCGUCGCACUACUUUAGCCAACAGCCUACUGUGGCCGCCAAGCUGACAUUCGACCAGUUGCACGAGCAGAUACGUACGCUGCAGGAGCACACCUCUGUGCGCGCUCAUUGGGAGCCCGUGGAUCAGCUAAUGAAGCUGGGCGGCAUUACGAUGCUCUUGCGCAUCAUUGCCUUCAGCUACGAUUGGGUGAACAAUGGACGCUCGGAGACGGUGCGCUCGGCCCUGGAUGUGCUCAGUGUGUGCUGUGUGAUACCGCGAGUCUAUCUGGUGCUCUGUGAACGACUGCAGAUGCCGGAUAAGACGACAACGUCUGGUUUCUGUUCAGUGCUGGGCGCAGCGGCCGGCGAGAUCACAGCCGACGCUGAGGUACUGAAAUCAGCUCUGGCCGUGCUCUGCCAUUGCGUAUGCUCGCCAAUCAUACGAAAGGACAGCAGCAGCAGCAGCCUCCUGAAGUUUGGCAACUCGUCGCGCAAGAACAAAGCCAACCAGAAAUAUGCCGAAGAGCUGAUCGAGAAGGUGUGGGAGUCGGUGUGCUCAAACAAUGGCAUUGUGGUGCUCCUCUCACUGAUGCAAACCAAGGGACCCAUCACCGAUGCCGACUGCAUACGCGGCAUGGCCUGUCGCGCUCUGGCCGGGCUGGCCCGUUCUGAUCGUGUACGGCAAAUCAUUAGCAAGCUGCCCCUGUUUGCCAGCGGGCAACUGCAGGCGCUCAUGCGGGAUCCCAUACUGCAGGAGAAGCGUGCUGAACAUGUCAUCUUCCAGAAGUACGCAUUGGAGCUGCUCGAACGCAUCUCCGGCAAGACAAAAACGAAGGCACUCACACCGCUCGAUCCGUCGCUCACCAACAUGCACAAGGCGAACGUGAUCGCCCAGACGCGCAUUCAAUACAACGAACAGCAGCUCUACCAGCUCAUUUUCGAGCACCUGGAGAGUAAGGGCCUCACACAAACCGCUCAGAUGCUGCAGCGGGAGGUGGGUCUGCCCUUGCAAACAACGACGACGCGCAGCUUUCAUCAGUCGCCCUUCGACUUCAAGGGCUUAUCUGGCAUCAGCUCAAUGUCGCGCAGUCGCCUGAGAAGCCGCAUGGCCGAUGUCUCUGCGGCCAUCAUGUCCAAUGGCGAUCAGAGUCGCAGUCUGUCAGAGGAUGCGUCGCCGCAUUGCAGCACUAGCGCCUGCACCUCGGGUACGGCCAAUGGAUCUUCUGCAGUGGGCGUGCCUGGUUUCAGCUACCUCAGCGCCCAAACACCCAUUAAACUGCGCAAGACAGAGCGUGCCACAUCCUCGGUAACACGUUCGUUGCAGAAACAAAUCAGCUUGGUCAAUCCGGAGUCAAGCGCUGUGGGACUGCCGGAUGAGUUGACUGUCUCUCCGGCUCUACAUCCGAAACGGGUGACGCUCAAUAGCAUUGUGACAGAGUAUCUGACGAAUCAGCACUCGCUGUGCAACAAUCCGGUCACCACCUGUCCACAGUUCGAUCUAUAUGAGCCGCACAAGUGCCCAGAUCCACGGCCCAGCCGUCAGGUCAGCUCCAACUACAAUUUGACCUCCCGGCAUUUCCGCACCCAGGCAGGCUUCAAUACGGCACGCUACGAUCGCCGGCAUGUCCACACACAUUUUGCGCCCUGGCGUACAAUGCGAUCUGCGGACUAUGAUGAUUUGGAGUUCACGUGCUGUGAUGUGGUGGGCAAUUACCUAAUCGUUGGCACACACCAGGGCGAGAGCAAGGUGUUCAAUAUGAACGAUGGCGUCGAACAGUUCUCCUCCAUAUGCCACACAUACGGCGUGGAUGCCAUACAGGCGAAUCGUGCCGGAGAUCUCGUUCUGACCACCAGCCUGUGGCGUUUGCGCACCACCAUUUUGUGGUCCAUCACGGACAACGAGUUCCGCUCCAAGCUGCGUCUGCCCGAGGUCGGAUACUGUGAGUUCAGUCAGACCACACAGGAUCGCUUACUGGGAACCCACACGGAUUGCGCCGUUUUGUAUGACAUCAACACGGGCUCCAAGGUGUCCACAUUUACACCCACCAUACCCAAUCAAUACACCAAAAAUAGAGCGACGCUGUGCCGCACUGACGAGCUGCUGCUCUCAGAUGGCGUGCUCUGGGAUGUUCGUUCCGGCAAGGAGAUUCAUAAAUUCGAUAAGUUCAAUCAAUGCAUCUCGGGCGUAUUUCAUCCCAAUUGCCUGGAGAUUAUUGCAAAUACGGAGGUAUGGGAUCUGCGAACGUUUCAUCUGCUGCAGACGGUGCCGGUGCUGGAUCAGCGUAACUGCACAUUUUCGCCCAUGCAUGUGAUUUAUGGCGCCAGCUUGGGUGCCGAUCGGGAUCAUGAUAUGGAGACAACUACCUACGAUACGAGCUUUAAUGUUUUGGAUGCUUACGACUAUUCGAGCAUUGCAACCAUCGAUGUGAAGCGUAAUAUCAACGAUUUGAGCGUCAGUGCGAACGGCAGCCUUAUUGCUGUUGUGGAGGAUCACAGCGGCUAUGAUUCGAAGCAGGAGACCUACGUGAAGAUCUAUGCCGUUGGUGUUAAAAAGAGCGAACGUUCGGAAGAGGUGCGUGCGGUUAAGGAUCUGGCCGUCGAUGAGGGCGUCGUCAGAGGCGGCGGCGGCACGUCCGCAUUAGAGGAGCCGUCACCGCCCGCCAAUGCGCCAGGCGGUGAAUCUGCGCUAAUUCGCAUCGUCGAAGAAGCGGCACGCCCACAUACGCCAGAGCCAAACAUGGCGUUGCUCAAUGCUGAUGCACUUGCAGACGCAGGCGCAGAUGCAAAUGCAAAUGCGAAUGCGAAUGGCGGCAUUGGUGCUGGCGGGGCUGACGACGAGGCACGCGCCCGUCGUCCAAGCCGGCUUAGGCAAUCGUCACAUGCCAAUUCAAAUCUGGCUCGCCAGCAUGCACCCAACAGCUCAAUUGUUGGUGUGCGACGGCGAGCACGUACACUGGGUGGUGCCGGUGCCGUUGCCGGUGCCGGUGCAGCCAUCGAGCUCAGAACGCUCAUGCGGAUGCAGAUGCAGAUGGAUGAUAUUGAAUUUAAUAUUCUGUCUAUGCUUGCAGGAAGAUGAUGAGGAGGUGCCCGAAUCUAAUGAGGAGGGCUCCGACACGGGCUCCGAUACGGGCUCUGAAAAUGCUUUUCCAUUAGGUCCAACUUUCCUCGGUUUCCCGUUACGCAGCCAUCGCAAUCGCAAUUUUAUUGAUAUUGAUUCCUCCAGCGAUGAUGAUGACAACGAUACUGAUC
RNA transcript from Drosophila mojavensis, 5522 nucleotides. It is a transcript of the gene named protein mahjong, with no coding region annotated. Lineage: Eukaryota; Metazoa; Arthropoda; Insecta; Diptera; Drosophilidae. The transcript has 9 exons. The record is from RefSeq and is a predicted model, not a curated record.